UACGGAGGGUGCAAGCGUUAUCCGGAUUCAUUGGGUUUAAAGGGUGCGUAGGCGGAAUAAUAAGUCAGUGGUGAAAUCCUACAGCUUAACUGUAGAACUGCCAUUGAUACUGUUGUUCUUGAGUCUAGUUGAAGUUGGCGGAAUGUGGCAUGUAGCGGUGAAAUGCAUAGAUAUGCCACAGAACACCGAUUGCGAAGGCAGCUAACUAAACUAGUACUGACGCUGAGGCACGAAAGCGUGGGUAGCGAACAGG
Molecule: ribosomal RNA, 253 nt
Filed under: uncultured bacterium
Lineage: Bacteria
Description: partial 16S ribosomal RNA
Rfam family: Bacterial small subunit ribosomal RNA
Source: RNAcentral